This 490-nucleotide ribosomal RNA is filed under the name uncultured bacterium. Its description in RNAcentral is "partial 16S ribosomal RNA". It matches the Rfam family "Bacterial small subunit ribosomal RNA", at positions 30 to 507 of the family's 1533-position model. The record is from RNAcentral.
AUUGAACGCUGGCGGCAGGCCUAACACAUGCAAGUCGAACGGUAACAGGAAGCAGCUUGCUGCUUCGCUGACGAGUGGCGGACGGGUGAGUAAUGUCUGGGAAGCUGCCUGAUGGAGGGGGAUAACUACUGGAAACGGUAGCUAAUACCGCAUAAUGUCGCAAGACCAAAGAGGGGGACCUUCGGGCCUCUUGCCAUCGGAUGUGCCCAGAUGGGAUUAGCUUGUUGGUGGGGUAACGGCUCACCAAGGCGACGAUCCCUAGCUGGUCUGAGAGGAUGACCAGCCACACUGGAACUGAGACACGGUGCAGACUCCUACGGGAGGCAGCAGUGGGGAAUAUUGCACAAUGGGCGCAAGCCUGAUGCAGCCAUGCCGCGUGUAUGAAGAAGGCCUUCGGGUUGUAAAGUACUUUCAGCGGGGAGGAAGGGAGUAAAGUUAAUACCUUUGCUCAUUGACGUUACCCGCAGAAGAAGCACCGGCUAACUCCGUG